Molecule: transfer RNA, 73 nt
Filed under: Volvox carteri f. nagariensis
Lineage: Eukaryota; Viridiplantae; Chlorophyta; Chlorophyceae; Chlamydomonadales; Volvocaceae
Description: tRNA-Arg (TCG) (tRNA-Arg-TCG-3-1)
Rfam family: tRNA
About the family: Transfer RNA (tRNA) molecules are approximately 80 nucleotides in length. Their secondary structure includes four short double-helical elements and three loops (D, anti-codon, and T loops). Further hydrogen bonds mediate the characteristic L-shaped molecular structure. tRNAs have two regions of fundamental functional importance: the anti-codon, which is responsible for specific mRNA codon recognition, and the 3' end, to which the tRNAs corresponding amino acid is attached (by aminoacyl-tRNA synthetases). tRNAs cope with the degeneracy of the genetic code in two manners: having more than one tRNA (with a specific anti-codon) for a particular amino acid; and 'wobble' base-pairing, i.e. permitting non-standard base-pairing at the 3rd anti-codon position.
Source: Rfam by way of RNAcentral
GGAGACGUGGCGCAAUGGAUAGCGCAUCAAACUUCGGAUCUGAGGGUUGUGGGUUCGAGUCCCAUCGUCUUCG